AGAAUCAACGCUGGCGGCGUGCCUAACACAUGCAAGUCGAACGAGAAAGUGGUAGCAAUACCAUGAGUAAAGUGGCGCACGGGUGAGUAACACGUGACUAACCUACCCUUGAGUGGGGGAUAACUGAGGGAAACCUUAGCUAAUACCGCAUAAUACCCACGGGUCAAAGGAGCAAUUCGCUCGAGGAGGGGGUCGCGGCCGAUUAGUUAGUUGGCAGGGUAAUGGCCUACCAAGACGAUGAUCGGUAUCCGGCCUGAGAGGGCGCACGGACACACUGGAACUGAAACACGGUCCAGACUCCUACGGGAGGCAGCAGUGGGAAUUUGCGCAAUGGGGGAAACCCUGACGCAGCAACGCCGCGUGGAGGAUGAAGUCCUUCGGGACGUAAACUCCUUUCGAUCGGGACGAUUAUGACGGUACCGGAAGAAGAAGCCCCGGCUAACUUCGUGCCAGCAGCCGC
RNAcentral lists this ribosomal RNA (460 nucleotides) under uncultured bacterium. Its description in RNAcentral is "SSU rRNA". It matches the Rfam family "Bacterial small subunit ribosomal RNA", at positions 26 to 518 of the family's 1533-position model. The record is from RNAcentral.